GAAGCCCUGGCUGGGAUGAUUUAGUUGUGGAUUAGUCCUGCUUUGAGCAGGGGGUUGGACUAGAUGACCUCUUGAGGUCCCUUCCAACCCUGAUACUCUAUGAUUCUAUGAUUUCUAUAUGUGAUGUGCACAUUUGUGCUAAUGUCUGAAUUGCAACACCUGUAGUUUAUAAUGGUUCCCCAAGCAGCCACUAAGGAAAUACUUAAAAGCAAAAGAGCAGAUUCUUAACUAUAUCCUUGCAGAGCUCAGAUGCAUUGGAGAGUGGCUGGCCAUCAGGGCUCUAGCUGUGGCCCCCUGAUCAUGAGCCACAUGGCCCUGAUGAAAAUAAGAGUCACAGAAGAGCCCCUGCAACUUACACCACUGGUGUAAGGGCCCUCAAGGAUAUUACACUAGUGGAUAAAUGGGAGUAUCUGAGCUCUGUUCCGCCCUGCUGCCCCCAGCACACCUCUAUGCAAGGAAUGAGGUUGGGUGGUUGGCAUAGGAGGCAGCAGCGCCACUUCCACCUGCAUUCAGCACUUGCAGAGUACAAAGUGGAUUUAGGAGGACUGGAGAAUCCUACCCAAAUGGUUCCUAUCUUUUAAGCUGUUACCAUUUUCAAGAAGAAAUAGUUUAAUGCACAUGUUUAGACCAGGCUUUCUUUGCACUUACAAUUCUUGUUGUGAUUUUUCCACCUGACACAUGAACUGCAUUGACACGAAUGAAAGAUGUCAUGCAUGUAUUGAAUAAGCAAGAUUUCACUUUAUCAGGCCUUGUAUACAUUGAUUUCUUCAUUCAUCCACUGGAAAGAAGGAAAUCAUUUUAAACAGUACGAACAUAUUGCAUGGCUUAUUGCUUGUUUGUUUAUUUCCCAGGUACAAGUAGCACAUUGUGUCUUACAACUGUAUAU
Chrysemys picta bellii (western painted turtle) is the source of this 886-nucleotide non-coding RNA. The record is from RefSeq and is a predicted model, not a curated record. Lineage: Eukaryota; Metazoa; Chordata; Testudines; Emydidae.